This 601-nucleotide ribosomal RNA is filed under the name Pantoea brenneri. RNAcentral describes it as "partial 16S ribosomal RNA". It matches the Rfam family "Bacterial small subunit ribosomal RNA", at positions 81 to 678 of the family's 1533-position model. The record is from RNAcentral. Lineage: Bacteria; Pseudomonadati; Pseudomonadota; Gammaproteobacteria; Enterobacterales; Erwiniaceae.
UUCCUCGUGAGAGAGUGGGAGAGGGGAGUGAAGUGUGGGGAGAUGUGCCAGAUAGAGGGAGAUAACCUGUGGAAAGGGGGGCUAAUACCGUAUAGCGUCGCGAGACCAAAGGGGGGGAUCUUCGGCUCUCUCUCUAUCGGGAGACCCCAUGGGGUUUUAUCUAGUGGGGGGGGUAGCGGCCCCCCUGCGACAAUACCCCUAUGUGGUGAGAGAAGGUGACCACCCACUGUGGCUGUGACACGCGGCCCACACUCCUACGGGGGGCAACUGGGGAGAAUAGUGCACAGUGGGCGCGCGCGUGGUGGAGCUGUGCCGCGUGUAUGAAAAGGGUUUUCGGUGUGUAGAGUAUUUUCCGCGGAGAAGAGGGAGAUGUGUAUAAUACCCGUGUAGUGUGAUUUUCCCCGGAGGAGAAACCCCGUAUAUCUCCGUGAGAGGAGCCGCGAAAAUACAGAGGGCGAGCGCGUUACUGAGAUUUAGUGCGUGUAGCGCACACAGGGGGUCUGUGUAGAGAGAGAUGUGAUCUCCCGGGGUAUACCGUGGGCUCUGUUUUUGAAUGUGGCGCGUGAGACUCUUAGAGAGGGGGAUAGAACUACGUGUGGAG